Molecule: ribosomal RNA, 252 nt
Filed under: uncultured bacterium
Lineage: Bacteria
Description: partial 16S ribosomal RNA
Rfam family: Bacterial small subunit ribosomal RNA
Source: RNAcentral
UACGUAGGUCCCGAGCGUUGUCCGGAUUUAUUGGGCGUAAAGCGAGCGCAGGUGGUUUAUUAAGUCUGGUGUAAAAGGCAGUGGCUCAACCAUUGUAUGCAUUGAAAACUGGUAGACUUGAGUGCAGGAGAGGAGAGUGGAAUUCCAUGUAUAGCGGUGAAAUGCGUAGAUAUAUGGAGGAACACCGGUGGCGAAAGCGGCUCUCUGGCCUGUAACUGACACUGAGGCUCGAAAGCGUGGGGAGCAAACAGG